Molecule: ribosomal RNA, 2935 nt
Filed under: Serratia marcescens
Lineage: Bacteria; Pseudomonadati; Pseudomonadota; Gammaproteobacteria; Enterobacterales; Yersiniaceae
Description: 23S ribosomal RNA
Rfam family: Bacterial large subunit ribosomal RNA
Source: RNAcentral
GGGUUGUGAGGUUAAGUGACUAAGCGUACACGGUGGAUGCCUAGGCAGUCAGAGGCGAUGAAGGGCGUGCUAAUCUGCGAAAAGCGUCGGUAAGGUGAUAUGAACCGUUACAACCGGCGAUACCCGAAUGGGGAAACCCAGUGUGUUUCGACACACUAUCAUGUCAUGAAUACAUAGUGGCAUGAGGCGAACCGGGGGAACUGAAACAUCUAAGUACCCCGAGGAAAAGAAAUCAACCGAGAUUCCCCCAGUAGCGGCGAGCGAACGGGGAGGAGCCCAGAACCUGAAUCGGCUUGUGUGUUAGUGGAAGCGUCUGGAAAGUCGCGCAGUAAAGGGUGAUAGCCCCGUACACUAAAAUGCACAGGUCGUGAGUUCGAUGAGUAGGGCGGGACACGUGACAUCCUGUCUGAAUAUGGGGGGACCAUCCUCCAAGGCUAAAUACUCCUGACUGACCGAUAGUGAACCAGUACCGUGAGGGAAAGGCGAAAAGAACCCCGGCGAGGGGAGUGAAAUAGAACCUGAAACCGUGUACGUACAAGCAGUGGGAGCACCUUCGUGGUGUGACUGCGUACCUUUUGUAUAAUGGGUCAGCGACUUAUAUUUUGUAGCAAGGUUAACCGUAUAGGGGAGCCGUAGGGAAACCGAGUCUUAACUGGGCGAAUAGUUGCAAGGUAUAGACCCGAAACCCGGUGAUCUAGCCAUGGGCAGGUUGAAGGUUGGGUAACACUAACUGGAGGACCGAACCGACUAAUGUUGAAAAAUUAGCGGAUGACUUGUGGCUGGGGGUGAAAGGCCAAUCAAACCGGGAGAUAGCUGGUUCUCCCCGAAAGCUAUUUAGGUAGCGCCUCGUGAACUCAUCUUCGGGGGUAGAGCACUGUUUCGGCUAGGGGGCCAUCCCGGCUUACCAAACCGAUGCAAACUCCGAAUACCGAAGAAUGUUAUCACGGGAGACACACGGCGGGUGCUAACGUCCGUCGUGAAGAGGGAAACAACCCAGACCGCCAGCUAAGGUCCCAAAGUCAUGGUUAAGUGGGAAACGAUGUGGGAAGGCAUAGACAGCCAGGAUGUUGGCUUAGAAGCAGCCAUCAUUUAAAGAAAGCGUAAUAGCUCACUGGUCGAGUCGGCCUGCGCGGAAGAUGUAACGGGGCUAAACCAUGCACCGAAGCUGCGGCAGCGACGCUUAGGCGUUGUUGGGUAGGGGAGCGUUCUGUAAGCCGUUGAAGGUGGCCUGUGAGGGUUGCUGGAGGUAUCAGAAGUGCGAAUGCUGACAUAAGUAACGAUAAAGCGGGUGAAAAGCCCGCUCGCCGGAAGACCAAGGGUUCCUGUCCAACGUUAAUCGGGGCAGGGUGAGUCGACCCCUAAGGCGAGGCUGAAAAGCGUAGUCGAUGGGAAACAGGUUAAUAUUCCUGUACUUGGUGUUACUGCGAAGGGGGGACGGAGAAGGCUAGGCUAGCCGGGCGACGGUUGUCCCGGUUUAAGCGUGUAGGGGGUGUGACCUGGUAAAUCCGGUUACAUACUAACCCUGAGGCGUGAUGACGAUGCACUACGGUGCAGAAGUAGUUGAUGCCCUGCUUCCAGGAAAAGCCUCUAAGCUCUAGGUAACAUUGAAUCGUACCCCAAACCGACACAGGUGGUCAGGUAGAGAAUACCAAGGCGCUUGAGAGAACUCGGGUGAAGGAACUAGGCAAAAUGGUGCCGUAACUUCGGGAGAAGGCACGCUGGCAUGUAGGUGAAGUCCUUCGCGGAUGGAGCUGAAGCCAGUCGAAGAUACCAGCUGGCUGCAACUGUUUAAUAAAAACACAGCACUGUGCAAACACGAAAGUGGACGUAUACGGUGUGACGCCUGCCCGGUGCUGGAAGGUUAAUUGAUGGGGUCAGCCGCAAGGCGAAGCUCUUGAUCGAAGCCCCAGUAAACGGCGGCCGUAACUAUAACGGUCCUAAGGUAGCGAAAUUCCUUGUCGGGUAAGUUCCGACCUGCACGAAUGGCGUAAUGAUGGCCAGGCUGUCUCCACCCGAGACUCAGUGAAAUUGAACUCGCUGUGAAGAUGCAGUGUACCCGCGGCAAGACGGAAAGACCCCGUGAACCUUUACUAUAGCUUGACACUGAACAUUGAGCCUUGAUGUGUAGGAUAGGUGGGAGGCUUUGAAGCGUGGACGCCAGUCUGCGUGGAGCCAUCCUUGAAAUACCACCCUUUAAUGUUUGAUGUUCUAACUCGGCCCCGUGAUCCGGGGUGAGGACAGUGUCUGGUGGGUAGUUUGACUGGGGCGGUCUCCUCCCAAAGAGUAACGGAGGAGCACGAAGGUUAGCUAAUCACGGUCGGACAUCGUGAGGUUAGUGCAAAGGCAUAAGCUAGCUUGACUGCGAGAGUGACGGCUCGAGCAGGUACGAAAGUAGGUCUUAGUGAUCCGGUGGUUCUGAAUGGAAGGGCCAUCGCUCAACGGAUAAAAGGUACUCCGGGGAUAACAGGCUGAUACCGCCCAAGAGUUCAUAUCGACGGCGGUGUUUGGCACCUCGAUGUCGGCUCAUCACAUCCUGGGGCUGAAGUAGGUCCCAAGGGUAUGGCUGUUCGCCAUUUAAAGUGGUACGCGAGCUGGGUUUAGAACGUCGUGAGACAGUUCGGUCCCUAUCUGCCGUGGGCGUUGGAAGAUUGAGAGGGGUUGCUCCUAGUACGAGAGGACCGGAGUGAACGCACCACUGGUGUUCGGGUUGUCAUGCCAAUGGCAUUGCCCGGUAGCUAAGUGCGGAAAAGAUAAGCGCUGAAAGCAUCUAAGCGCGAAACUUGCCUCAAGAUGAGUCUUCCCUGGGCCUUCAAGGCCCCUGAAGGAACGUUUAAGACUAAGACGUUGAUAGGCUGGGUGUGUAAGUGCAGCGAUGCAUUGAGCUAACCAGUACUAAUGAUCCGUGAGGCUUAACCUUACAACACCGAAGGUGUUU